Molecule: small nuclear RNA, 275 nt
Filed under: Microtus ochrogaster (prairie vole)
Lineage: Eukaryota; Metazoa; Chordata; Mammalia; Rodentia; Cricetidae
Description: 7SK RNA (ENSMOCG00000009733.1)
Rfam family: 7SK RNA
About the family: 7SK was discovered as an abundant small nuclear RNA in the mid-70s but a possible function has only recently been suggested. Two independent studies have found that 7SK RNA binds the CDK9/cyclin T complex (known as elongation factor P-TEFb). P-TEFb activates transcription by phosphorylating the C-terminal domain of RNA polymerase II.
Source: RNAcentral
GAAUGUGUUGGCAGUCUGGCUACAACAUCUGUAGGCCGAUUGAUUGCCAGGGUUGAUUGGUUGACUGGCUAGCUAGGCAAGUGUUCUCUUUCUCCCUUGCUGCCCCAUGCAUGUCCCUUCUGAAGCUGUGAGCUUGGUCCAAGAGGAAAACGUUCCCUGGUAAAGAAGCAGCCUUUGAUCAUGAAUAUAUGAAUAUUUGCCCUCUCUGGCUAGAACCUCCAAGCAAGCACUCAAGAAAAGAACUGUCUAGUAGUUAAGAGCUAGUACUGAUGUUC